UACGUAGGUGGCAAGCGUUGUCCGGAUUUACUGGGCGUAAAGAGCGCGCAGGCGGUCGGAUAAGUCGAGUGUGAAAGCCCCUGGCUCAACCAGGGAGGGUCAUUCGAUACUGUUCGACUCGAAGGCAGGAGAGGGAAGUGGAAUUCCGGGUGUAGUGGUGAAAUGCGUAGAUAUCCGGAGGAACACCAGUGGCGAAGGCGGCCAUCUGGACCGCAACUGACGCUGAGGCGCGAAAGCGUGGGGAGCAAACAGG
Molecule: ribosomal RNA, 253 nt
Filed under: uncultured bacterium
Lineage: Bacteria
Description: partial 16S ribosomal RNA
Rfam family: Bacterial small subunit ribosomal RNA
Source: RNAcentral